GGCGGCAUAGCCAAGUGGUAAGGCAGAGGACUGCAAAUCCCUGAUCCCCCAGUUCAAAUCUGGGUGUCGCCU
Molecule: transfer RNA, 72 nt
Filed under: Ephedra distachya
Lineage: Eukaryota; Viridiplantae; Streptophyta; Gnetopsida; Ephedrales; Ephedraceae
Also listed under: 41 other names
Description: tRNA-Cys
Rfam family: tRNA
About the family: Transfer RNA (tRNA) molecules are approximately 80 nucleotides in length. Their secondary structure includes four short double-helical elements and three loops (D, anti-codon, and T loops).
Source: RNAcentral